CCCAUCGUCCUUGUCCCCCUCCUCUGUUUUCCCACCCGGCAAAGAAACUUCACCUGCAGAAACACAAAACCAAAAAUUAAAAAACCAAUCUUUCCCAUUUCCAUUUUUAUCAAUUUCCUCAAUUUUUCCCAUUUCCAGAAAAAUGAGCAAGAAGCUUAAGCAGGAAAAAAAUCAUAAUUUCAACAACCAAAACCCAAUACCCGUUUAAUCAUACACGAACGAAAAAUCUAAACACAGAGUCACAGAUUAACGAACUGAAAACCCAAAAAAAAUAAAGGAAACUGACCUUACUUAAGAACAAUACAUAGAACACAGAGAAACGAAACAAAUAAAGGAACCCCCAAAACCAAAUAAAGGAACCCUCAAAACCUGACCUAACAGUGCAACAAAAUCUGGAAAUAAUUCACAGCAAAAAGGCAGAAAUGAUGACAAUCUAUGCUAACAGUAAAGAAUCGAAUUAAAAAUUGAACUUAGCUUUUGAAAUCCAGCCACUCAUCCGACAUGCAAAAGGGAACGGAUGAUCGAGAGUGAAUCAUGGACUGAGGGACCUUACUCGACCCAUCAUUGGAGCUACGUUUGUAGCUUUUGGGGAGAAAAAAAUUGAAUGUGAAAGCUGCUUUUGAUGUGGCCAUUAAGGUGGUGCUUCAGC
RNAcentral lists this long non-coding RNA (649 nucleotides) under Malus domestica (apple). RNAcentral's name for it is "long non-coding RNA (MDOM_LNC005221)". The record is from RNAcentral. Lineage: Eukaryota; Viridiplantae; Streptophyta; Magnoliopsida; Rosales; Rosaceae.